AACUAUUAGAGAGCAAGAGAGAGAGAGGGGAACGUGAGGCGGCCUCAAAACAAGAUGGGCCGCAUAUGAUAAAAUAAGGGAGUUGAUAUCCAGCCAGUGGUCCGCGAGAGCGACCAGUGCAGAUGACACGGCGUAUUAUAUCCAACGUGUGAUAUCAUCAGGACAGCUCACAUAAGCCUGCAAAUCGAUGGAGGCGAUUGCAUCUAUGAAAUCCUUACAUUACCAGAUAAUCUGUGCUGACAAUCACUUCCAACCGUCCCUCUGAUCAACGCAUCCCCUCCAGCAGUCAGGCUGAUUGGUGCCGUUCACAUAGUUGUGUAAGUUUGUGCCACAACUGGAACAGUCAACACACAAACAUGAAAGCAGGAGUGUGUGACCCCCUUCAAUUAAUAGCUCUCUGUCAGUGAAGAUCCUGUACACAGGGAUAUACAGACAGUUGUUUAUGUCUUCUUCAUGGCUGCUAAAGCGUUAGCGUUCCUCUAAUACAGUGUGGACUGAACCACCGCAGACCAACUGCUUUCCCUCGUUUGUCUUGUUAAAGGGAAACAAGAACACAUGUGAAACAGCCUUUACCUUUUAAUGCUAUUUCAGCUGCU
Molecule: long non-coding RNA, 596 nt
Organism: Gasterosteus aculeatus aculeatus (three-spined stickleback)
Lineage: Eukaryota; Metazoa; Chordata; Actinopteri; Perciformes; Gasterosteidae
Source: Ensembl